AGCAACAUGGCGCAGCGGAAGCGUGAGUAAUUCGCAAGUCACAAGUCAAUCAUUUGUUCGUGAAAACUAACAUUCAAUCAGGCGCCGGGCUCAUAACCCGGAGGACCCUGGAUCGAAACCAGGUGUUGCUA
Molecule: transfer RNA, 131 nt
Filed under: Lasallia pustulata
Lineage: Eukaryota; Fungi; Ascomycota; Lecanoromycetes; Umbilicariales; Umbilicariaceae
Description: Umbilicaria pustulata tRNA-Ala
Rfam family: tRNA
About the family: Transfer RNA (tRNA) molecules are approximately 80 nucleotides in length. Their secondary structure includes four short double-helical elements and three loops (D, anti-codon, and T loops).
Source: RNAcentral